This 601-nucleotide ribosomal RNA is filed under the name Legionella pneumophila. RNAcentral's name for it is "partial 23S ribosomal RNA". It matches the Rfam family "Bacterial large subunit ribosomal RNA", at positions 1 to 631 of the family's 2925-position model. Lineage: Bacteria; Pseudomonadati; Pseudomonadota; Gammaproteobacteria; Legionellales; Legionellaceae. The record is from RNAcentral.
UUAUAUGGUCAAGAAGAGAAGCGCAAACGGUGGAUGCCUUGGCAGUAAGAGGCGAAGAAGGACGUGGAAUCCUGCGAAAAGCUAUGGGGAGCUGGAAACGAGCGUUGAGCCAUAGAUGUCCGAAUGGGGGAACCCGGCUGCAGCGAUGCGGUCAUUUGCAUUUGAAUACAUAGGAUGCAAAGGCGAACUCGGGGAACUGAAACAUCUAAGUACCCGAAGGAAAAGAAAUCAAGAGAGAUUCUCCAAGUAGCGGCGAGCGAACGGGGAGGAGCCUGGCGUGAUUUAUUAUUGAACUGAGUAGAACAAUUUGGGAAAGUUGGCGAUAGAGGGUGAAAGCCCCGUAUACGAAGGUUUGAUGAGGAACUAGGCACGCGAACAAGUAGGCCGGGACACGUGAAAUCCUGGUUGAAGAUGGGUGGACCAUCAUCCAAGGCUAAAUACUACUUACUGACCGAUAGUGAACUAGUACCGUGAGGGAAAGGUGAAAAGAACCCCGGAGAGGGGAGUGAAAUAGAAUCUGAAACCGUUUGCGUACAAGCAGUGGGAGCAUGGUUUAGGCUGUGUGACUGCGUACCUUUUGUAUAAUGGGUCAGCGAGUUAC